Molecule: transfer RNA, 55 nt
Filed under: Toxocara vitulorum
Lineage: Eukaryota; Metazoa; Nematoda; Chromadorea; Rhabditida; Toxocaridae
Description: tRNA-Leu
Source: RNAcentral
GCACAUGUAGUAUAAUAAAUAUGUCAGGUUUAGGACCAGGAGAUUAUGGUGUGCU